This 577-nucleotide ribosomal RNA is filed under the name Insectozyma bohioensis. RNAcentral's name for it is "eukaryotic LSU rRNA". It matches the Rfam family "Eukaryotic large subunit ribosomal RNA", at positions 40 to 635 of the family's 3401-position model. Lineage: Eukaryota; Fungi; Ascomycota; Pichiomycetes; Serinales; Debaryomycetaceae. The record is from RNAcentral.
AUAUCAAUAAGCGGAGGAAAAGAAACCAACAGGGAUUGCCUUAGUAGCGGCGAGUGAAGCGGCAAAAGCUCAAAUUUGAAAUCUGGCACUUUCAGUGUCCGAGUUGUAAUUUGAAGAAGGUAUCUUUGGAUCUGGCUCUUGUCUAUGUUCCUUGGAACAGGACGUCACAGAGGGUGAGAAUCCCGUGCGAUGAGAUGUUCCAGAUCUAUGUAAAGUUCCUUCGAAGAGUCGAGUUGUUUGGGAAUGCAGCUCUAAGUGGGUGGUAAAUUCCAUCUAAAGCUAAAUAUUGGCGAGAGACCGAUAGCGAACAAGUACAGUGAUGGAAAGAUGAAAAGAACUUUGAAAAGAGAGUGAAAAAGUACGUGAAAUUGUUGAAAGGGAAGGGCUUGAGAUCAGACUUGGUAUUUUGUAUGUUGUUCUUUCGGGGGCAGCCUCUACAGUUUAUCGGGCCAGCAUCGGUUUGGACGGUAGGAUAAUGGCAAAGAAAUGUGGCAAGCUUCGGUUUGUGUUAUAGUCUUUGUUGAUACUGCCAGUCUAGACCGAGGACUGCGGCUUCUGCCUAGGAUGCUGGCAUAAU